GAUGAAGAACGCAGCGAAAUGCGAUACGUAAUGUGAAUUGCAAAUUCAGUGAAUCAUCGAGUCUUUGAACGCACAUUGCGCCCCCUGGUAUUCCGGGGGGCAUGCCUGUCCGAGCGUCAUUGCUGCCCUCAAGCACGGCUUGUGUGUUGGGCCCCGUCCUCCGAUCCCGGGGGACGGGCCCGAAAGGCAGCGGCGGCACCGCGUCCGGUCCUCGAGCGUAUGGGGUUUUGUCACCCGCUCUGUAGGCCCGGCCGGCGCUUGCCGAUCAACCCAAAUUUUUAUCCAGGUUGACCUCGGAUCAGGUAGGGAUACCCGCUGAACUUAAGCAUAUCAAUAAGCGGAGGA
Molecule: unclassified non-coding RNA, 345 nt
Filed under: soil metagenome
Description: partial contains 5.8S ribosomal RNA, internal transcribed spacer 2, and large subunit ribosomal RNA
Rfam family: 5.8S ribosomal RNA (bases 1-119)
Source: RNAcentral